This is a long non-coding RNA of Alligator sinensis (Chinese alligator), 314 nucleotides long. RefSeq lists it as uncharacterized. Lineage: Eukaryota; Metazoa; Chordata; Crocodylia; Alligatoridae. The transcript has 3 exons. The record is from RefSeq and is a predicted model, not a curated record.
GGAAGUUGUUGCCAUGGCAAUACCUAAAACAGCAGAAAUUGGCUUGUAAUCUCAACACAGGAGACCAACAGACCUCGCUAGACUGUUUGCAGCUAGGCAGAAACAAUGGAAAGAUGGGUUAUAUCAUUCUUCCUUAAAAAACAGAAGCAUUCCAGAGAACCAGAGGAGGAGUUCAUAUUACUUGUGCCACUUUUGUAAAAUAACCAUAAAAUCCUUGUGAAGGUGUUUUGAUUGAAUAUUCCUGGUUAGCUGGACAAAAAUGAUCCUUUCUAAAUGAUUCAUCAAACUGAAUUUGAACUCUCAUCUUAUUCUCC